AACGCCGGGAAACUCACCAGAUAAGACAGCUGAAUGAUAGUCGGGCUGAAGACUCUACUUGACUAGCUGAGAGGAGGUGCAUGGCCGUCGUCAGUUCGUACUGUGAAGCAUCCUGUUAAGUCAGGCAACGAGCGAGACCCACGCCAACAGUUGCCAGCUCGUCCUCCGGGAUGGUGGGGACAUUGUUGGGACCGCCUCUGCUAAAGAGGAGGAAGGAAUGGGCAACGGUAGGUCAGCAUGCCCCGAAUUAUCUGGGCUACACGCGGGCUACAAUGGGUGGGACAAUGGGUAUCGACACCGAAAGGUGAAGGCAAUCUCCUAAACCCAUCCGUAGUUCGGAUUGUGGGCUGCAACUCGCCCACAUGAAGCUGGAAUCUGUAGUAAUCGUGUCUCAAAAUGGCACGGUGAAUAUGUCCCUGCUCCUU
RNAcentral lists this ribosomal RNA (425 nucleotides) under uncultured Methanomicrobiales archaeon. RNAcentral describes it as "bacterial SSU rRNA". It matches the Rfam family "Archaeal small subunit ribosomal RNA", at positions 914 to 1338 of the family's 1478-position model. The record is from RNAcentral. Lineage: Archaea; Methanobacteriati; Methanobacteriota; Methanomicrobia; Methanomicrobiales.